This 1391-nucleotide long non-coding RNA is filed under the name Cricetulus griseus (Chinese hamster). RNAcentral describes it as "lncRNA (ENSCGRG00015034423.1)". The record is from RNAcentral. Lineage: Eukaryota; Metazoa; Chordata; Mammalia; Rodentia; Cricetidae.
GGAAACAGGAAGUAUCUCUCUUCCCCUCCGCUCCUGCUCCAGCGGCACAAUGUGAUCCACUGGCAAGGAGGGACGCCAAUAAGACAUCUGAUAGAUAAGUCUUAUAAAAUAUAUAGAUUUAUGAUAAUUAAGAUUGAGCUAGCAGAUGAGAAUCCUAGUCAUUGGCCAAGCAGCAUUGUACCUAAUACAAGUUUCUGUGUAUUAAUUUGGGCCUAACUCGGGCAGGUGGCUGGGUAAAGCUCACACAUGGCGGUGGGCCUCAGGCGGCUUUUGGCGGAAAGACUUAAUGUAACAUAAUUCUUUUAGUUUUAUUUAAAACAAAUACAUAGUUUAUAAAAUUUUUAUUGAAAUGCUGAGGAUAAUACCUAAGUCUUCAUGCAUGUUUUGACUAUUUAAUAAUACAGCAGUUAAUAUGACUUAGCAAAUACGAUUUAUGUUCUCCCCAAAAUUUGAACAUUCUGUAAUUUUUCCCCAAAUAUGUUUCAGAGAAAAAUUUGCAUAGAUAUAUUUGCUGGUUGGUAUGCAAAUUUUUAUUUCCACUUUGAAUUGGUCUAUGAUCUUUUCACUUUUGUCUACCAUUAGUAUUUUCCAUCUAUAUUCAAAGCCAUUGGAAUAUAACUAGAACACACCAUAAAGUCAAGAUCUGUUGCAAAUUAAAUUUCACUUAAUAUUGGUAAUAUCAGCAUAAAAAUAGGGGUGACUCAGGAAUUGGAGUUACUCCUUAACUCUUAGUGAAUAUGCUGUAUCUAUCUUUCUGGUUUAGUUUUCAAUUUUCUGAUCUACUAAUUUUAAUAAGUUUAUUCAUUUACAAGAGCUGCUGUAAGAAAUUACCAGAGCAUCGUGGAUUAAAACCAUUCCUGAGUCUGAAAGCCAGAAUCAGGAGUUGGCAGGAUUUGUUGCUUCUUGAUUUUCUGUCAGACAACCUAUUAUCUAACUUCUGGCAGCUGCAGGCCAUCUAGGGAAGCCUCCACCUCCAUCUUCAUCUGAUUUGCUCCACAUUUCUUGCUAAAAGCCACAAGAUCAUGCAACAAUAUACAGCUAUCAUAUUGUUAUGCCCAGUUUGUGGGACACCAAAAAGUCCACCACCAAAGAGACAAUUCAUCAAAUGGAAAAACAAAAGUUUCAUUUAUUGGCAAGCUACAGCCUGGAUUCUGCUGGCUCAGGAGCAAAUGGAAUACAGCUUACAGGUUCACUUAGAAAGAUCAGCAACAGGCAAAUUACAGCAGAGUGGUUAAAUAUGUACAGAAGCAGCUGGAUCAGAAACUCAGAAGGGACAGACUUCAAACCCUAACUAUGUCAAAUGGGAUAAAUUGUGACCUCAAAUUACAAAACAGCCAUUUAAAUUUCUAUGUGAACCAAUAAACUAUUUUAACUAAGACAGCAUAAUGCAU